This 70-nucleotide microRNA precursor is filed under the name Dendroctonus ponderosae (mountain pine beetle). Its description in RNAcentral is "mir-10 microRNA precursor family". It matches the Rfam family "mir-10 microRNA precursor family". From Rfam's summary of the family: In this case the mature sequence comes from the 5' arm of the precursor. Lineage: Eukaryota; Metazoa; Arthropoda; Insecta; Coleoptera; Curculionidae. The record is from Rfam by way of RNAcentral.
GAGAAGGAACCCGUAGAACCGAACUUGUGUUUGUUUUUGUCACGGGUUCGCUUUUAAGGGUACCUUCUUU